This 481-nucleotide ribosomal RNA is filed under the name uncultured bacterium. RNAcentral describes it as "partial 16S ribosomal RNA". It matches the Rfam family "Bacterial small subunit ribosomal RNA", at positions 28 to 507 of the family's 1533-position model. The record is from RNAcentral.
GACGAACGCUGGCGGCGUGCUUAACACAUGCAAGUCGAACGGGAUCCGGGCUUUCGGGUUUGGUGAGAGUGGCGAACGGGUGAGUAACACGUGAGUAACCUGCCCCCUUCUUUGGGAUAACGUCGGGAAAUCGGCGCUAAUACUGGAUAUUCUUGCUGCAUCGCAUGGUGUGGUUUGGAAAGGGUUUCUGGUGGGGGAUGGGCUCGCGGCCUAUCAGCUUGUUGGUGGGGUGAUGGCCUACCAAGGCUUUGACGGGUAGCCGGCCUGAGAGGGUGUCCGGCCACACUGGGACUGAGACACGGCCCAGACUCCUACGGGAGGCAGCAGUGGGGAAUAUUGCACAAUGGGCGCAAGCCUGAUGCAGCGACGCCGCGUGAGGGAUGACGGCCUUCGGGUUGUAAACCUCUUUCAGUAUGGAACAAGGAUCCUUCUUGUGGGGGGUUUGAGGGUACGUGCAGAAGAAGCGCCGGCUAACUACGUG